RNAcentral lists this ribosomal RNA (1225 nucleotides) under Leuconostoc carnosum. Its description in RNAcentral is "bacterial SSU rRNA". It matches the Rfam family "Bacterial small subunit ribosomal RNA", at positions 244 to 1462 of the family's 1533-position model. The record is from RNAcentral. Lineage: Bacteria; Bacillati; Bacillota; Bacilli; Lactobacillales; Lactobacillaceae.
GUUAGUUGGUGGGUAAAGGCCUACCAAGACAAUGAUGCAUAGCCGAGUUGAGAGACUGAUCGGCCACAUUGGGACUGAGACACGGCCCAAAUUCCUACGGGAGGCUGCAGUAGGGAAUCUUCCACAAUGGGCGAAAGCCUGAUGGAGCAACGCCGCGUGUGUGAUGAAGGCUUUCGGGUCGUAAAGCACUGUUGUAUGGGAAGAAAAGUUAAGGUAGGGAAUGACCUUAGCCUGACGGUACCAUACCAGAAAGGGACGGCUAAAUACGUGCCAGCAGCCGCGGUAAUACGUAUGUCCCGAGCGUUAUCCGGAUUUAUUGGGCGUAAAGCGAGCGCAGACGGUUGGUUAAGUCUGAUGUGAAAGCCCGGAGCUCAACUCCGGAAAGGCAUUGGAAACUGGUUAACUUGAGUGCAGUAGAGGUAAGUGGAACUCCAUGUGUAGCGGUGGAAUGCGUAGAUAUAUGGAAGAACACCAGCGGCGAAGGCGGCUUACUGGACUGUAACUGACGUUGAGGCUCGAAAGUGUGGGUAGCAAACAGGAUUAGAUACCCUGGUAGUCCACACCGUAAACGAUGAACACUAGGUGUUAGGAGGUUUCCGCCUCUUAGUGCCGAAGCUAACGCAUUAAGUGUUCCGCCUGGGGAGUACGACCGCAAGGUUGAAACUCAAAGGAAUUGACGGGGACCCGCACAAGCGGUGGAGCAUGUGGUUUAAUUCGAAGCAACGCGAAGAACCUUACCAGGUCUUGACAUCCUUUGAAGCUUUUAGAAAUAGAAGUGUUCUCUUCGGAGACAAAGUGACAGGUGGUGCAUGGUCGUCGUCAGCUCGUGUCGUGAGAUGUUGGGUUAAGUCCCGCAACGAGCGCAACCCUUAUUGUUAGUUGCCAGCAUUCAGAUGGGCACUCUAGCGAGACUGCCGGUGACAAACCGGAGGAAGGCGGGGACGACGUCAGAUCAUCAUGCCCCUUAUGACCUGGGCUACACACGUGCUACAAUGGCGUAUACAACGAGUUGCCAACCUGCGAAGGUGAGCUAAUCUCUUAAAGUACGUCUCAGUUCGGACUGCAGUCUGCAACUCGACUGCACGAAGUCGGAAUCGCUAGUAAUCGCGGAUCAGCACGCCGCGGUGAAUACGUUCCCGGGUCUUGUACACACCGCCCGUCACACCAUGGAAGUUUGUAAUGCCCAAAGCCGGUGGCCUAACCGUAAGGAGGGAACCGUCUAAGG